This 846-nucleotide ribosomal RNA is filed under the name Allomyces arbusculus. RNAcentral describes it as "eukaryotic LSU rRNA". It matches the Rfam family "Eukaryotic large subunit ribosomal RNA", at positions 88 to 861 of the family's 3401-position model. Lineage: Eukaryota; Fungi; Blastocladiomycota; Blastocladiomycetes; Blastocladiales; Blastocladiaceae. The record is from RNAcentral.
GGCGAAUGAAACGGGAAAAGCCCAAAUUUGAAAUCUCCUAGCUUUUUGCUAGGCGAGUUGUAAUUUGUAGAAGGUUUUCAUCUGAACUGUGUUUGCUAAAGUCCAUUGGAAUGGCGGGCCUUUAUGGUCCUCAAGUCGUAGAGGGUGACAACCCCGUUCUUGGCAUUCUACUAGUUCUCUUGUAUGAUUCCUUCAAAGAGUCGGAUUGUUUGGGAAUGCAAUCCAAAUGGGUGGUAAAUUCCAUCCAAGGCUAAAUAUUAGCAAGAGACCGAUAGCGAACAAGUACCGUGAGGGAAAGAUGAAAAGAACUCUGAAGAGAGAGUUCAACAGUACGUGAAAUUGCUGAAAGGGAAACGCUUGAAACGAUUGUUGCUCUUGGUUUCGGCCUUGAGCGAGUCAGUAGCAGUUUUGAACGGUAAAGAAGUGCCGGGAGAAGGUAGUUUUCUUUGGAAAAUGUUAUAGCUCCGGGUAACUGUGCCGGUUGAGACUGAGGAUCGCUUUCAAGAGUCUUGUCGAGGAAUUUUGGGCCGUUAGCCCCAAGGCCUUGGGCUUGCUCAAGACUUGGUGUUAACGGUUCAGGACGACCAAACACAAGGCCUUGAAAUAGGUUACUGACAAAAUGGUUUUAAUCGACCCGUCUUGAAACACGGACCAAGGAGUGCAACAAAUUUGCAAGUCGUAGGGUGACAAACCUGAAGGCGCAAUGAAAGUGAAAAAAUACCACCCAGUAACAUGGGACAGUAUUGCCCGGUCUUGCGGCUACUGCCAAAGGAUCUGAGGUAGAGCAAAUUUGCUGCGACCCGAAAGAUGGUGAACUAUGCCUGCAUAGGGCGAAGCCAGAGGAAA